CAGAAAUACCCCAGAGAGAUGUCCCCGUCCUCUGUAUUCCCGGGACUCCACACAGGAACAUCACAAGGUCUCACAGAAUUAUCAGGGUGAAGACCUGAUUAUGAUUAAAGUUGAAACUCUAGAUGGCAAAGAGAUGUAUGUGAGGGUACAUGAGCAGUGCGAGGAGGAAGAAAGCCCUCCAGCGAUUGGCACAGAUGGACGUUACGCAUGGACUAAUGUAGAGGAACAUCCUAUGACCUCCCCCGAUGAUGAAAAAGAAGAUGACUGUAUGGCAGAUUAUCCAAUAGACGACUCCAUUCCCCGAAAUCUCCAUCCGG
Nanorana parkeri is the source of this 317-nucleotide long non-coding RNA. RefSeq lists it as uncharacterized. NCBI's taxonomy places the organism in Eukaryota, Metazoa, Chordata, Amphibia, Anura, Dicroglossidae. The transcript has 3 exons. The record is from RefSeq and is a predicted model, not a curated record.